Molecule: RNA transcript, 8768 nt
Organism: Alligator sinensis (Chinese alligator)
Lineage: Eukaryota; Metazoa; Chordata; Crocodylia; Alligatoridae
Gene name: adenosine receptor A3-like
Exons: 5
Source: RefSeq, a predicted model, not a curated record
UUUAUUUUAUUUAUUUUUGCACACUCAAUUAUUUAAAUCUGGAUUUAUGGGGCUUGAAAAACCAGAACGUUCUCCAGGUCUCAAUUAAAAAAAAUCUUAACUUUGCAAAGAGAAACGUGGGCAGCAACUGCCUUACUUGAAAAUAUGACGUUUUUAGUUUUUGAAGUUCCUAAAAGUGGGCACUUAUUUUGUAAUCAACCUUCCUGUAUCUUAAUUUUUGCAAUUGCAAAACUUCCCUGUCUUCAGCACAAUGUUCUCUCUAACCCAAAAGCUGACUGCUGUUUUAACAACUGAAGGGCUGGUGUAGAUGUUGUAAAGCAUCUGUAAUUACAGACUGAUUUGCUUUAGAGCAAGGGACACAAACGCUGUGUGUGUAGUUGUUAAAGCACUGGAGCAUUUUCCUACUCGGGUAGGCAACAAUUUUAGGGCACAAGGUAAGAUGUUGCUAUUUCAUUUCUCUCAAUUACCAGUGAAAAUUUGGGGUGUUUUUUUGGUUGUCUUUUUUUAAAGGAAUAGCCAGCGGCUGUAUUUAUAGCGAUAGUAGAGGAAAAUGAGAUGCGCUGUUAGCGUACCAAACAGGACACUGCUUAAUAAGGCUAGGAGCUUACUGAGAUCUAGUGAGCUGUGCUCAUUAACUACAAGAAUCACUUGGGUUAAAGCUUUUUUGCACCUCAUUAAGGCUGUGAAACAAGCAUUUCAUUUAUAUUAUUUCAAAUAUUCUGUUGACAUUUGAUAUAAUGAAAAGGCUUUUGAAACAAAAAACCAGUGUUGUUAAAAUAACUUUCUGAUGAAAAAUUGUUUCAAGGAACACUUUCUGACCUGCUCUAGUUGUCAUGGCUGCUACAGAAGGGUAUGUGCAAAGUUUUCAGACAAAAGAGUAGUUUUUAAGUUGGUAUUUUCCCUUUUAAUAGUGAAACUAUUAAGGUUCAUUUUAUUCAUUGCCUGUGCUCAGGUGCAGUGUAAGCUGGUAAGUUAGAGCAGGGAAGUAGGAUGGUUUUCUUCCUGGCAGCUGCUGACUUGCAGCCUUUACUGCUUGUAUGGGCCACUUAUUACCUUCCUGUGUGAUAUGCCUCUCACACAGCAAUAUGGUUAGUAACACUUCCUUAGGUCACAGAUGUGCCGUGAGUCUCAACCCAUUUCUGGUUUGUUGUUUUUGUUGGGGUUUUUUUGAGCUCCUGGGAAGAAAAGCUUCAAAAAAAACACAAGUCAGAAUGGAUCCAGACUUUCCCAGAACAUGGGACUCUUUCUCUAGACCCAGAUUUUUGGUUUCUAGCACAAACUCCUAGUAGUAGUAGUAUCAUUAUAACACUGGGGAGACGUCCGAUCUCCAGGAAUCGGAUGACGACUGCUGGGACAAAUUUAAUAAAGGUGAUCAAUAAAGCUCUCAGAAAUCAGGAUUGGGUCCCAAAGCAACUAUUUGCCUGCUUUUCUCUCUAGUUUUGCUUCUUGCUCCUUGUGUUUGAAGAUAAUGGGAGGCUCGGGUUCAACAACUGAGUCAACUUCAGUGCCACCAUCACCUUUGCCCAUCACAACCACCAGCACACCUGCUCCAGACACCGUGAUUACUACUACAUCUGCUCCACACCCAACAACAGGAGCUAAAAGCUUUUUUGAUGACCAUGAGGUACUCUACAUGUUGCUGUCCUUUCUUGCUGGUGCUUUGUUAGCCACUCUGGUAUCCACAGUCAUCUGGUUGAUCAUCGGACAAAGGAAAAAAAAAUAUCACAAGAGAUGCCAAGAGGCUUCUCUGCAGAAGGAUGCUGUACAGUCCACGCAGCAGGCAGAUGUGGAACAUGCCCAGGAAAAGGUCAGAGCUGUUUCUUUGGUGUCUGUCAGCUUCCCCAGGACGAAGUCAGUUAUGCCUCUUUGACUUUCAAGAAGACACCCAAGCCCGUUGCUGAGAAAUGAAGACACCGCUGCUGCCUCCGGCUCAAAGGAAGGCGGCCGUGUUGAAACAAUGUGCUGGCUUCGCUCAGAACGACAUUGCCAAAUGUUGCCUGUGAGACAUCAGCCAAGUGAUUUGUUGAGCUGCAUUGAGGUCUGUGGCACAAGAAAGUGUGGUCAGAGCAGAAAGUCAUGCAGCACUGCUUUCACCGUACGGACAAAUACACUUGGAGCAGCUUCAAAACAGGAGAGGGAACUUAUGCUUAAGAGUGUCCCUCACCUAUUACAUGACCUGUUAGAUGUGCGUGAGCCUGUAGUGAUAUAAAUGAGCUCAGUUGCCCCAGCUUUAAAGUUGGGUGAAGGAGAGUUAAAUUAGGAGUAUUUCUGUCCUAAGCUGUAACAUCUCCUCGCCUUUUGAAGCCUCUUUAUGUGUGCUUGUCUCUCUCCUCACUGCGCGCUUUUGAAAUCACUUACCUUUGUGUCACAGUUUCUUCUUCUGUGUCUGGCUGAUAAGACUACUUGAGAAACACCAGUGCUUUCUCUUUACAUUCUUUCUGCCCUUGUAAAACUUCUCUCUCUGUCUUAAUCAGCACGAAAAGGACAGGAAAUAUUUACCACUUAUCGUAUUUAAUCGUGUGUGAAAAUCUGCCCAUUGAAUGUUUUGUUUUUCCACGCUCUUCUUAAAUUACUUUGGACUCAAACGGUCCUUCUUAUUGUGCCUCUGCUUCAAUUAUGAAUUGCUUUGGUUAACUAGGUUAAUUUUUAAAAAAUGGAUAGCUUAUGCAAAUUUCUGCUUCCAUGUUGGAUCAUAGGAGAUAAGAAGCUUGUUUUCCUGGACUUGUGACUUCAUCUCUACAAUUGUAGUUGCAGAGAGAUGCUGCUGUGCUUAUGAACUCCCUGGCUCUACUGGGGACGUUCAAACAGCCGUAACACUAAUCAGAUAGCAAUGGCCCAUCUCAUGCUGGCAGAACAUCAGGUGUGUUAACAGCACUCACUUACCAAGCAUUUGACAGAGGUGCAUGAGAAUCAUUAUCCUCAUUUUGCCACAGGAGCAAAUGCAGUGAUUAAGUUGUAAUGAAAUGUCGCCAUCCAUCACCACAUCUGCCAAGGAGGAGGGGGAAUUAAGCCCUGCUUACCCACAUCAGGUAAAAGCAGGGACUAAAGCUGCCCUCUGGUUUUAGCUGUUCCACUCCCUCCAGCAGCCACAAACGCUAUGCUUUAACCUGUUGCGGACUGGUCACUGAGAGGUUUGGGGGGGUUUCAGUAUCGGUACCAGAAUUGGGAGUAGAAGCCAAAUCUUUAAAUGCCCAGCCCCAAGCCCUGUUACCUGAGGAUUGAAUCCUUCUUCAGAUUAGUCAGUGCAUGAUGCUGGAUUGUUAUAACUGCAAACAGGUGUCAUCUGCAUAUUUGGGUGCCCAGACACCUUUGCAUCCAGCCCUAAUUCUUUUGGGUCCAUGCAAAAUGACUGUGCACUUGAACAGGAGUAAAAAUCCCCAGUGUCUGACUGAAAGAAGCACCAAUCAGUAAAUGACAAAAGGACAGGAAACAUUUGCAAGCUUUAAAAAAAAUCACUUUGCGUUGGAACACAAAGGAUUAAAUGGCCAUGUGAUGGCAGCAAAAGGUAAUGAAUGGGGAACCCCAGUUUAUAACAACUGACUCUUGAGAUCUGUUCUUAGUCAUUCACUAAUGCUUAAAGCAACCCAUUUUUAGCUGUUAAUAUGGCAUGACGUUGCUAACAAAGAACACAGCUUUGGGGGACCAUUGAUAUCAUAUGAACUUUGGGGUUUGUAAGGAGAGGUACAAAUGUGUGUGGCUUUUAUGGUGGUUUUCAAUCCUUCCUUCUGCUUGACUUCAGACUAACACAGCUACCUACCUCUUUCUCUCUCUUUUUUUUUCUUUUUUCUUUACCAUGGAUUGCUUGCGUGGUUCUGGUAAAAGAGUUUGGAUGAGUUGCAUGAUGUGUGGAUUUGUGAAGACAACAUAAAACUUAUUGCUGCUGUACGCGCACAAACAAAUGGAUGAGUUUGGUAUAAGACUGCACGCACUUCUCUCCUGUGUGGCUUCAGUGCAUGUGUAUUUACAAGUCCGUGAUGGCGAUCCUGUAAGGCCCUGAGUGGAGCUCGACGAGCAGACCUCAAUUCUUGAAUGCAUCCGUUUUCAUAAUGUUGUUAGUCCUCAAAGUACAGAAGGAGGGAUGAGGAUGGCAAACACUGAAGCAACAUGAGUUGCUACGCAGACAUUGUGGACCAUUCUGCGAAAUGAAGUCAGCAAGCGCCAUGAACACUGCAAGCAACACAUGGUUUUCUCCAGGACACAGAUUAGUCUGUUGUUGGUCUUUGACAAGGCACCAGAUUUUCUAGCAAAAGGAAAUGCGAUAAAUGCAGUUUAUCUCUAUUUGAGCAAAAGACGUAGCAGAGCCACAGGGGACAUAGUAACUAAUGAAGAUGGAAAAGAGGGGAGUUCAUAAGGCAGUUUUGAAUGAUGACAGGUUUUACAAGUGGGGGUGACGAUUUUUUUUUACGGAGUGGGCAACUAUCAGGCUGAAGGCAGGUUACAUGUCAAGUUCCCCCUGGACAGAUCUUGCAGCUUUCUGAUUUAAUACUUUCAUGUGUGACCUUGGCUGCAGCAGUAGACCUGUGCCAUGGAACCAACAGUGGGAGGCACUGUCGGUACAAAGGAGGAUUGGAAUAUUAUACAGGGAAAACGAGAUGACCCUGGGGACUGAGUAAUAAAAACAGCACGAAUGGUGCAGUAUAAAAUGCAAGGUCAGGCACGUGGAGACUAACUACAGGAGUUUCUGCUAUAAACAGAGAACUCGCUAGCUAAAAGGUGACAGAGGAGAGUAGCUUGCACAGCUUAGCUGACUAGAAGCCAACUGUGUGGUGCACCCAUAGAAAAGGCAAAUGUAAUCGUAGGCUAUGUAUUAGGCAAGGUAUUUCCAACAGUGAUAGGAAAGCAUUGGUGCCAUUGUAACCAGACAGGGGUAAGACCUUAUCUGGAAGCUGGUUGCAGUUCUAAGGCUGUGUUUGCAGGGUAAACUUACUGUGCCAGGCAGCAGAACAGUAACACCGUGGUCGAGGACUGCAUACCACACCACACGGGCUGCCUUCAGACCACAGCUGUGUGCGCCAUGCUCCACGUGGACUGGGGAACGUGGGAGCAGGCUACCUGGCACAGUCACCCAGCAGUGUGUAUUAGCUCUGUCAGUGUGGCAAUCCUGCUGCUACCAUUUGCACGCGUGAGUUUUUGGGCACAGAGAAAGGGGCAAGGUGUCAGAACCUCUGUGACUCUUUCCGAAAACCUGGUUAUGGCGAUUUUCUGGGUCACAUUGCUAACCACCAAGGGAGCCAGAAAUAGAACAUUUCUGUUUCUCUCUGUCUCCAAUUUCGCACCCAGUGUAGAUGACAGUGACCCCUUCAAAGCGCCGUGUAGCGAAGGCCAUGUGUUCAUCUCCAAACCCCCAAAAUGCACUAUGGCUCCAUGAGGUUUAAGUAGCAAUUGUUACAAAUUCCCUUUUUUGUUUUGUUCCUCCAAAAUACCUUCCCUAGCCCAGUUUGGAUUUAGACCUGAUAGCAGUUAUGGCCACCCGAUGAUGGGUGGCAGCUGAGAGAAACUGGAAAGCCUGCAACUAUGAGCCGUUCUGAGGAAGAAGGCGCAUAGCUCACGGUGAACCCAAAGCCAUUUCUCUUCCUGUAGUAAACGUGAUAACAGCAAGCGGAGACAAUUCAGCUCCGAGAAAGCCAGCAGCAAGGCCCGUUCCUGUCAGCUGGGAUGCCGCACAAUGAGGGUGAAGGUGGCUUUCCACGCAGAACUGGACUGAGGCCCAAAUGGGUCAUUUCCACACCAUUCACUAAAACUCAGCCAACUGGACAGCAACAGGUUUGGCUGCCAGGAGGCUCUGUGCUAACCAGAGGGCCACAAGCUUUCAGGUUUGUGUAAGCCAAGCGCGUUGCAUGUCCCAGAGGUUUCUAACAGUCCUCCAUCCCUCUCUUUUUGCAGGACUCUGCAAUCCCCUCAGUCAGACUUUCCCUCGUUCCAGGGCAUUUAUGUCUCCUCCACUCCCCCCACCAAGGCCAGGCACUGUCUGCUAGCCAGUUCUUAACAGCAGCCAUGAACUGGUUCUUGUAUAGACAAUGAUCAUGGUGAUGUAGGGCUGCUGGGUCUGCUAAAUGUGUACGUGCCCCCACUUCCCCUUUCUGGGUUUCGGGUUUUCACCAGGCAGACGGGAGUCUGCUCACUGAUGCCUUAACAUGUUCGGAUGUUUUGUAACUGCGUGCAUGCAACAUUCAAAAGCUGUCCCGGGCAAACAGAUAGGAUAUUGCUUAACUCAACCACUGAGUCUAGCCCAGGCAUUUGGGUAAGAUAGACCCCUGCGAAGAAGGGUAUCCUGAGGGUGAAGGUGCACCCCUGAACCUAUGGCUUAGUUGGGACUUAAUUAGUGCAUAGGGCUCAUACUGGCUUUGCGCACUGGGCUGAAGCUUCACUACAGAGCGGUAACCAGAUUGUGCUGUCUCCAGCAGGAAACAUCUCCAGGUAGUGUCUCGGUCUGGGAAGUUAAGGGGUAUUAUUGCUAGUGUGAUGAGGAGGGUAGGCUUUGUAAGUCCCUACACAGAGGUGGUUCGUAGAUAGUCUUCCAGAGCAGGGAAAACAAUACAGGUGCUCAGCAUAAGAAGGGAUUUCCAGGGACUCUUUCUGAAAGGAUGUGGAAGUGGGCCCAACUGUGGUGAGGUACUAAAUGCCUUUAUAAGAGAAGGGUGUAGCACCUAUGCUAGUAACAUGAGUUCUAAGACCUCCGUGGGAGUUUGCUGGGCUGGGUUGGGCUAGAAACCAUACCAGUGUCUCUGUGAGGUUUCAUUUAGACCGGCACCACACAAUGGGUUUGUCUGAGCUUCAUUAGAUGAUCUAGUUGGGCUGAGCCUUUUUGCUGCUCUUUUGCUGGGAAGCUGAGCUAGUCCAUCAGGUGGUGGGGCUUUGGCUCCGUUUCCCCACGCUCACUUGGUUUCAGACAGUGCCACUGCUGAUGCCCUGGGGAUAAUCCUUUGGCCUGAGAAGUCCCAGCUCCCAGGUUAUGGGGCCAGGCAUUCUUUGGCCAAGCCCACGCAGUCCUAGUGUCUGCAGCAGAGCGUCUGUCUCCUGAGCGAGGAGCUGCACUGAAUUCUCCUGUCCUUAUACAGGCGGUGGCAAUGCCCUCACUGGCCGGUCCAUCUUUUAAAUCCCUCUGCGCAUACCAGGGAAUAUUAAUUCCCUGAGAGAUUAUGCCAGGCGGCUUGGUCUGAAGACCAAGGAAUAGCUUUUCUUACCAGUGACUUCCUCUGUUGGGCAGCACAGAACAAGGGGCUCUGUCUUUCUCUGAUUGCCCCAUAACCAUUUUCCCCAGCUUCUGUCUGUGUCUCAUUUUCAUCCUAUCCCCCCCUCAUUAAAAAACACAUGACCUUACACGCUGACUGGUGCUAUUUAAUGCCGGUAAGUAGUUGCACCUUGCUCUGAUCAGUGAAAAGGCUUCUCUGAUCUCACGUGUGAGCGUGGUUUAAGCUCGCUCAAAAGAAAAGCCUCUUGUGGAAGUCCUUCUGCUCUGGGUGGGAAUGCUGGGUGUGCUCUUGCACAUCAGGAGCAACACGCGCCACGUGGCAGAAGUCAGUGGGAUUCCUCCCAGCUAUGAUACCACGUCCCCUUUCAACCCAAAUGAUUUGUAAAACAUUUGGGGCCUGUGAGGAUGUUGCGAUGAAGAGGACGAAUAAUUGGUGAUGGAGUCGGGGGUGUCCUGGAGGCAGUCCUGUUUAUUUAUAAAAGGCGUGCAACCACAGCAGAUGUCAGGCAAAAGGCAGGGUCUUUGCAGACACUUUUCCGUUCAGCUUCUCUUCCAGUCGGCACGUCUCCCUGAAAUCCCUCAAGGCCACGUACCCAGGUCUUCGGUGUUUUCUCUUGCUCCGCUCGCUCCACCGGCCAGUCCCCUCAGCCCCACGUUUGCCGUCUCCGUCCCCAUGAAGCCCCCUCAGCCCUGUUUCUGUUUAGCUUUGCCAUGUGCAUCUCUGCUUUGGGCUGCAGCCCCUUGUGUUUCAGCUCUCACUGAAGGGAAAGCCAUAGCAUUGCUCCCUCAGUGAGCUGCAGCUGAAGGCCAGUGGCGAGGUCUACCGGUUUCACCGGGACUUAACCCCACCUCUAACAGUUUAUCCACCCUUUAUCUUAAAUAUAUUAAUCACAUCUCAGCCUCUUGUGAUUUACCCAAGCAUCUCAUCUUUGAAAAUAGCAGAAGCCCCAACCCAAAAUGCCUCCAAAAUGCUUGCAGCUUGUUCUCAUAUUGCUAACAGCGCUGCUGGUGGCUUCAAACCUCAGGGUAGCUACUGUCAUUGAGGUGUCCUGAGGUGCAACCACAAUCAAGACAAGGUGGUUUGGCUUACUGUGAGGUAAUUCUUUUUAUUGAGCUUAAAAUUAAUUGCGUUGCCUUCAGUGUGCUUUUGUCUGGGGUUGAUGUGUGUUAGUUUACAGAUUCAUAGACGUAGGGUCGGAAGGGACCUUGCAGAUCUUCUAGUCCGACCCCCUGCCCUGGGGUAAAACAAUGUGGCUUUUCUAGCGCAAAGACAAAGCCUACAACAGGUGUGGUACGAGAGGAUUGGGAGAAUACACCCUGUUCGUCACUGCCUGCCCUGUGACCCGCUCUUUGCUCUGCAUGUAUUUGCCUUGGCCUGUUUUAACAGAGGAUAUUUGAAACAUUAAAAGCAAGGUGAUAUGAUGAAAGUGUUCUGCUCUGUAAAUGGCUCCCAUGUUACCCAUGCUACAGUAUUGCCUGGAAGCCUCCCCCUCACAUCAGGGCCCAUUGUGCAUGGCCCCAUGGAGGCUGUAGUUCAAAGAGAUGGGUAAAGAGCUGAGGCACGCACACCCGCAAG